Molecule: long non-coding RNA, 715 nt
Filed under: Equus caballus (horse)
Lineage: Eukaryota; Metazoa; Chordata; Mammalia; Perissodactyla; Equidae
Description: lncRNA (ENSECAG00000059039.1)
Source: RNAcentral
GUAGAAUUAUGGAAAUAGUAUUAUAGAUAAUCAUGGAAAUCAAUGAAAUAAGAAACAGUAGGAAGAAAUUUAUGAAACUAAAACUGGUCUUUGAAAAUAUUAAUAAAGUGAAAAAUAUCUCGUCAAAGAGAUAGCGAUGAAGAUAGAGAUAGAGAAUCACAUCAUAUAAAGAGCAGAAAUGAGAUGAGGAUGGCAUUGGACAUCUCAAUGACAAUACUGGGACCUAGGAUGGAGGGGAUCCACACAGGAAAGGAGCAAAGGGAACUCCAGGCUGACUGCCAUGCUUCCGAUCUGGAGAGUGAGUUCAGAAAGGACAGAGGAUGGAGGCCUUCAGGAGAAAAUGAAAUUGUUGUGUUAAUUUUUCUUCUCUUGGGAGAGUUACCCUGUAGUCUGGGAAGCUUGGUGCCUGGUGCCAGCACUGGGACAUUUUUAGCUUCAUCAUCGUUACCAUGACCACUAUGGUCAUUACCAUCAAUAUCAUCAUCACCUUCACCAGUAUCAUCACCUUUGCCCUCAGUCACCACCAUCAUGCAGUCACUAAAAGCCAGUCAAAAGUAAACAGAUAAGACUUCUGUGUGCAGCCAUGACUGAGUAACCAAUACUAGCCUUAUCUUCCCGCUGUAAACUGGAAAACUGGAAAAAUAUGUGUAACUAAGCUUUAGACAUCUGAGAACAAGCAUCUGGGGACUGGGAUUUAAGAUGGAAGAGAAAAAAA